GAAAGGUCGAUCAACAUUGAGGUCAAAACUAGAACUUCCAGUGCAGGCGGUACUCAAUUUGCAAGUCCCUGUGGAGCACUCUAAGGAAGUCAAUGAUUGCAAGCAUCUGAUUAAAACUUUGGUUAUGGGAAUGAAAACCAUAAUAUGGAGCAUCACCCAUGCACAUUUGCCUCGAUCACAGGUUUCGGCUUCCACUCAGGGGACGCCUCCUCAAGUUCUUUCCUCAGCCUCGACUAGUUCAUCAGUACCUCAACCUUUUAAAGGAAUGAGAGAAGACGAGGUUUGGAAAGCUUCCGGUGUGCUUAAAAGUGGUGUUCAUUGCUUGGCAUUAUUCAAGGAGAAGGAGGAAGAGAGAGAAAUGAUCCAUCUUUUUUCCCAGAUUUUGGCUAUUAUGGAACCACGGGAUCUAAUGGACAUGUUCUCCUUGUGCAUGCCUGAAUUGUUU
RNAcentral lists this unclassified non-coding RNA (445 nucleotides) under Hevea brasiliensis (rubber tree). Lineage: Eukaryota; Viridiplantae; Streptophyta; Magnoliopsida; Malpighiales; Euphorbiaceae. The record is from RNAcentral.